AGAGUUUGAUCAUGGCUCAGGACGAACGCUGGCGGCGUGCCUAAUACAUGCAAGUCGAGCGAAUCAUUAGGAGCUUGCUCCUUUUGGUUAGCGGCGGACGGGUGAGUAACACGUGGGCAACCUGCCUGUAAGACUGGGAUAACUUCGGGAAACCGGAGCUAAUACCGGAUAAUCCUUUUCCUCUCAUGAGGAAAAGCUGAAAGUCGGUUUACGCUGACACUUACAGAUGGGCCCGCGGCGCAUUAGCUAGUUGGUGAGGUAACGGCUCACCAAGGCGACGAUGCGUAGCCGACCUGAGAGGGUGAUCGGCCACACUGGGACUGAGACACGGCCCAGACUCCUACGGGAGGCAGCAGUAGGGAAUCUUCCGCAAUGGACGAAAGUCUGACGGAGCAACGCCGCGUGAGCGAUGAAGGCCUUCGGGUCGUAAAGCUCUGUUGUUAGGGAAGAACAAGUACCGGAGUAACUGCCGGUACCUUGACGGUACCUAACCAGAAAGCCACGGCUAACUACGUGCCAGCAGCCGCGGUAAUACGUAGGUGGCAAGCGUUGUCCGGAAUUAUUGGGCGUAAAGCGCGCGCAGGCGGUCCUUUAAGUCUGAUGUGAAAGCCCACGGCUCAACCGUGGAGGGUCAUUGGAAACUGGGGGACUUGAGUACAGAAGAGGAAAGCGGAAUUCCACGUGUAGCGGUGAAAUGCGUAGAGAUGUGGAGGAACACCAGUGGCGAAGGCGGCUUUCUGGUCUGUAACUGACGCUGAGGCGCGAAAGC
This 769-nucleotide ribosomal RNA is filed under the name uncultured bacterium. RNAcentral's name for it is "bacterial SSU rRNA". It matches the Rfam family "Bacterial small subunit ribosomal RNA", at positions 8 to 760 of the family's 1533-position model. The record is from RNAcentral.